RNAcentral lists this ribosomal RNA (912 nucleotides) under Pseudosperma sp. DPL10658. RNAcentral describes it as "partial large subunit ribosomal RNA". The record is from RNAcentral. Lineage: Eukaryota; Fungi; Basidiomycota; Agaricomycetes; Agaricales; Inocybaceae.
UCAAUAAGCGGAGGAAAAGAAACUAACGAGGAUUCCCCUAGUAACUGCGAGUGAAGCGGGAAAAGCUCAAAUUUAAAAUCUGUUGGCAUUGGCCAUCCGAGUUGUAAUCUAGAGAAGUGUUACCCGUGCUGGACCGUGUACAAGUCUCCUGGAAUGGAGCAUCGCAGAGGGUGAGAAUCCCGUCUUUGACACGGACUACCAGUGCUUUGUGGUAUGCUCUCAAAGAGUCGAGUUGUUUGGGAAUGCAGCUCAAAAUGGGUGGUAAAUGCCAUCUAAAGCUAAAUAYUGGCGAGAGACCGAUAGCGAACAAGUACCGUGAGGGAAAGAUGAAAAGAACUUUGGAAAGAGAGUUAAACAGUACGUGAAAUUGCUGAAAGGGAAACGCUUGAAGUCAGUCGUGUUGACUUGAAAUCAACCCUGUUUCUGCUGGGUGUACUUUCUUGUCAAUGGGUCAGCAUCAAUUUUGACCGUUGGAUAAAGUUAUUGGGAAUGUGGCAUCUUUGGAUGUGUUAUAGCCUGAUGAUGCAUACAGCGGUUGGGAUUGAGGAACUCAGCACGCCGAAAAGGCCGGGUUUUGACCACGUCCGUGCUUAGGAUGCUGGCAUAAUGGCUUUAAUCGACCCGUCUUGAAACACGGACCAAGGAGUCUAACAUGCCUGCAAGUGUUUGGGUGGAAAACCCAUGCGCGCAAUGAAAGUGAAAGUUGAGAUCCCUCUUUUUUGGGGGAGCAUCGACGCCCGGACCAGACCUUUUGUGACGGAUCCGCGGUAGAGCAUGUAUGUUGGGACCCGAAAGAUGGUGAACUAUGCCUGAAUAGGGUGAAGCCAGAGGAAACUCUGGUGGAGGCUCGUAGCGAUUCUGACGUGCAAAUCGAUCGUCAAAUUUGGGUAUAGGGGCGAAAGACUAAUCGAA